UAUGUUUAGCCCCUCUAAAAUUAUCAAAAUAUAUUUUGGUUAUGAAUUUCUUUAAAUCACAAUUUUUUUUACAUGUUUUGGUGUUUGAAAGUCUUUUUUCCUCUUCACCCUCUUCUGUUCUUGGUCUGAGGCCAAGGAUUUGCUAGGGGAUAACUGAAGCCAAGGUCUGAAGCCAACGACAUAGGAGAGUUGUUCAGCAGCAUGCAAAUCAAUAAAAAAGAAAUGCUUGGGCAAAGGUCUUGUUCUAGUGCAUGUCUUACAGCUUUCUUAGAUGUCACUUGGAUAAUGAUUCAUCAGUGCUUAUCUAUUCAGGGCCUUUGCCCAUCAGGUGGCAGGAGUGAUACUGGUGGCAGCGAUGGUGGAACUGGAAGCAGGAGUGAUGCUUCAUUAAGGACAGGUUUAAGAAAUUGAAUGUUAUGUUUGAGGAACUCUAUUAGAGAUAAUCUCAGUGGACAGUUCCUGACAUCCAUCUGCUAGUGUCUCUCAGGCCUGCAGUUGCUGAAGUCUUG
This is a non-coding RNA of Cajanus cajan (pigeon pea), 509 nucleotides long. NCBI's taxonomy places the organism in Eukaryota, Viridiplantae, Streptophyta, Magnoliopsida, Fabales, Fabaceae. The record is from RefSeq and is a predicted model, not a curated record.